GAUGAAGAACGUAGCGAAAUGCGAUACUUGGUGUGAAUUGCAGAAUCCCGUGAACCAUCGAGUCUUUGAACGCAAGUUGCGCCCGAAGCCAUUAGGCCGAGGGCACGCCUGCCUGGGCGUCACACGUCGUUGCCCCCCCCAUCUACUCCUUCGGGAUUGCGGGGGGCGGAUGAUGGCCUCCCGUGCGCCUCGCCGCGCGGUUGGCAUAAAUGCCAAGUCCUCGGCGACGCACGCCACGACAAUCGGUGGUUGCGAAACCUCGGUUGCCCGUCGUGUGCGGUCGUCGCGCGUCGAGGGCUCGAAAAAAUUGCCGAGUUCCGGCUCGGCUUUCAACGCGACCCCAGGUCAGGCGGGGUUACCCGCUGAAUUUAAGCAUAUCAAUAAGCGGAGGA
This 392-nucleotide unclassified non-coding RNA is filed under the name soil metagenome. RNAcentral's name for it is "partial contains 5.8S ribosomal RNA, internal transcribed spacer 2, and large subunit ribosomal RNA". The stretch from base 1 to 122 matches the Rfam family "5.8S ribosomal RNA", at positions 35 to 154 of the family's 154-position model. The record is from RNAcentral.